UACGUAGGUGGCAAGCGUUGUCCGGAUUUACUGGGCGUAAAGAGCGCGCAGGCGGUCGUUCAAGUCGCGUGUGAAAGCCCCCGGCUCAACUGGGGAGGGUCACGCGAUACUGAUCGACUCGAAGGCAGGAGAGGGUAGUGGAAUUCCAGGUGUAGCGGUGAAAUGCGUAGAUAUCUGGAGGAACACCGGUGGCGAAGGCGGCAUCCUGGACCGAGAUUGACGCUGAGGCGCGAAAGCUAGGGGAGCAAACGGG
This 253-nucleotide ribosomal RNA is filed under the name uncultured bacterium. Its description in RNAcentral is "partial 16S ribosomal RNA". It matches the Rfam family "Bacterial small subunit ribosomal RNA", at positions 524 to 776 of the family's 1533-position model. The record is from RNAcentral.